UGGUCUUGACAUCCACAGAACUUUCCAGAGAUGGAUUGGUGCCUUCGGGAACUGUGAGACAGGUGCUGCAUGGCUGUCGUCAGCUCGUGUUGUGAAAUGUUGGGUUAAGUCCCGCAACGAGCGCAACCCUUAUCCUUUGUUGCCAGCGGUCCGGCCGGGAACUCAAAGGAGACUGCCAGUGAUAAACUGGAGGAAGGUGGGGAUGACGUCAAGUCAUCAUGGCCCUUACGACCAGGGCUACACACGUGCUACAAUGGCGCAUACAAAGAGAAGCAAUCUCGCGAGAGCUAGCGGACCUCAUAAAGUGCGUCGUAGUCCGGAUUGGAGUCUGCAACUCGACUCCAUGAAGUCGGAAUCGCUAGUAAUCGUGAAUCAGAAUGUCACGGUGAAUACGUUCCCGGGCCUU
RNAcentral lists this ribosomal RNA (406 nucleotides) under uncultured Escherichia sp. RNAcentral describes it as "bacterial SSU rRNA". It matches the Rfam family "Bacterial small subunit ribosomal RNA", at positions 976 to 1382 of the family's 1533-position model. Lineage: Bacteria; Pseudomonadati; Pseudomonadota; Gammaproteobacteria; Enterobacterales; Enterobacteriaceae. The record is from RNAcentral.